This 491-nucleotide ribosomal RNA is filed under the name uncultured bacterium. RNAcentral's name for it is "partial 16S ribosomal RNA". It matches the Rfam family "Bacterial small subunit ribosomal RNA", at positions 29 to 506 of the family's 1533-position model. The record is from RNAcentral.
AGUGAACGCUGGCGGUAGGCCUAACACAUGCAAGUCGAACGGCAGCACAGUAAGAGCUUGCUCUUACGGGUGGCGAGUGGCGGACGGGUGAGGAAUACAUCGGAAUCUACUUUUUCGUGGGGGAUAACGUAGGGAAACUUACGCUAAUACCGCAUACGACCUACGGGUGAAAGCAGGGGAUCUUCGGACCUUGCGCGAUUGAAUGAGCCGAUGUCGGAUUAGCUAGUUGGCGGGGUAAAGGCCCACCAAGGCGACGAUCCGUAGCUGGUCUGAGAGGAUGAUCAGACAAACUGGAAUGGAGAAAGGGUCAAAACUCCUAGGGGGGGCAGAAGGGGGGAAUAUGGGAAAAGGGGGGAAAGCCUAACCAAGCAAUACGGGGGGGGGAAAGAAGGCUUUGGGGUGGAAAAGCCUUUUUGUGGGGAAAAAAAAGAAGCAGGUUAAAACCCCGCUGUUCUGAGGGUACCAAAAAAAAAAGCACCGGCUAACUUCGU